Molecule: ribosomal RNA, 144 nt
Filed under: Klebsiella pneumoniae
Lineage: Bacteria; Pseudomonadati; Pseudomonadota; Gammaproteobacteria; Enterobacterales; Enterobacteriaceae
Description: partial 23S ribosomal RNA
Rfam family: Bacterial large subunit ribosomal RNA
Source: RNAcentral
GAGAUGUGUAUAAGAGACAGGACUAUAAGUCUCCUGAAGGAACGUUAAAGACGAUGACGUUGAUAGGCCGGGUGUGUAAGCGCAGCGAUGCGUUGAGCUAACCGGUACUAAUGAACCGUGAGGCUUAACCUUACAACGCCGAAG